Molecule: non-coding RNA, 115 nt
Filed under: Platyophrya macrostoma
Lineage: Eukaryota; Ciliophora; Colpodea; Cyrtolophosidida; Platyophryidae
Source: RNAcentral
AAAGAAAAGAAAAGGCACAGUUCAGGUACCAGGUACGUUCUAUUCUCUUACAUCUUUUUUUUUUACUCCGUUUUUGUGAUUUGUUUGUUUUGUGUUACCUUUUGUUCUUGUGAUU